AAACCAUGAUGGGGACACUGUCUUAACAAACUCUUGAAUCUGUCCCAUACUUUAAAUAGUAAUUCUCCAUCUAUCUGAGCAAAGUGUGUGAUGUUAUUCCUUAAGUAA
Molecule: small nucleolar RNA, 108 nt
Organism: Zingiber officinale
Lineage: Eukaryota; Viridiplantae; Streptophyta; Magnoliopsida; Zingiberales; Zingiberaceae
Source: RefSeq, a predicted model, not a curated record